RNAcentral lists this small RNA (668 nucleotides) under Pan troglodytes (chimpanzee). RNAcentral describes it as "processed transcript". The record is from RNAcentral. Lineage: Eukaryota; Metazoa; Chordata; Mammalia; Primates; Hominidae.
CCCCUCUGCUUCUCACCCCGGUGAGUAACGUCUGAAGCUUCUGCUCGCAUUGAGUCUGAAUCGUUCUUUUAAUUUAAGGUACCCCAGAGUUCAUGGCCCCUGAGAUGUAUGAGGAGAAAUAUGAUGAAUCCGUUGACGUUUAUGCUUUUGGGAUGUGCAUGCUUGAGAUGGCUACAUCUGAAUAUCCUUACUCGGAGUGCCAAAAUGCUGCGCAGAUCUACCGUCGCGUGACCAGUGGGGUGAAGCCAGCCAGUUUUGACAAAGUAGCAAUUCCUGAAGUGAAGGAAAUUAUUGAAGGAUGCAUACGACAAAACAAAGAUGAAAGAUAUUCCAUCAAAGACCUUUUGAACCAUGCCUUCUUCCAAGAGGAAACAGGAGUACGGGUAGAAUUAGCAGAAGAAGACGAUGGAGAAAAAAUAGCCAUAAAAUUAUGGCUACGUAUUGAAGAUAUUAAGAAAUUAAAGGGAAAAUACAAAGAUAAUGAAGCUAUUGAGUUUUCUUUUGAUUUAGAGAGAGAUGUCCCAGAAGAUGUUGCACAAGAAAUGGUAGAGUCUGGGUAUGUCUGUGAAGGUGAUCACAAGACCAUGGCUAAAGCUAUCAAAGACAGAGUAUCAUUAAUUAAGAGGAAACGAGAGCAGCGGCAGUUGGUACGGGAGGAGCAAGAAAAA